Molecule: ribosomal RNA, 464 nt
Filed under: Halimeda tuna
Lineage: Eukaryota; Viridiplantae; Chlorophyta; Ulvophyceae; Bryopsidales; Halimedaceae
Description: eukaryotic LSU rRNA
Rfam family: 5.8S ribosomal RNA (bases 107-263)
Source: RNAcentral
UUUUCGUAGGUGAACCUGCGAAAGGAUCAUUAUCGGCACAUCCCAACACUGUUGUCCUGAAGGCGUCAGCCCUCUCCUCGGAGCGGCGGCGACGCCGGAGUCUCGAAAGCAUGCGUGGUGGACGGCUCGGUUCCCGCGUCGAUGAAGGACGUAGCGAGAUACGAAAGGUGUUGCGAAUUGCAAGAUUUCGCGAGUCAAUGACCAUCCGAAUGCAUCGCCGCCCUCCCCUCGCCCUCGGGCGGAGGGAGGACGCGUCGGCGACAUCGCCCUGCGAGAGCGCUCUCCCCCCAUUCGCGGAGAGGCCGCAGUGGACGAGGCACCCGACCGAUUGUCGGCGUGCACGUGACAGCGCUGCCCGCCGUCGCCGCUCGGUCGAAGGACCCGCGGCGGCAGGCGAACGAUUGCGAACUGCUGCGAUGUCGUCGGCGAGGAAACCCGCUGAACUUAAGCAUAUCAUUAAGCGG